AGUGAACGCUGGCGGUAGGCCUAACACAUGCAAGUCGAACGGCAGCACAGUAAGAGCUUGCUCUUACGGGUGGCGAGUGGCGGACGGGUGAGGAAUACAUCGGAAUCUACUUUUUCGUGGGGGAUAACGUAGGGAAACUUACGCUAAUACCGCAUACGACCUACGGGUGAAAGCAGGGGAUCUUCGGACCUUGCGCGAUUGAAUGAGCCGAUGUCGGAUUAGCUAGUUGGCGGGGUAAAGGCCCACCAAGGCGACGAUCCGUAGCUGGUCUGAGAGGAUGACCAGCCACACUGAAACUGGGACACGUUCCGACCCCUUACGGAGGCAGCAGUGGGGAAUAUUGGACAAUGGGCGCAAGCCUGAUCCAGCCAUACCGCGUGGGUGAAGAAGGCCUUCGGGUUGUAAAGCCCUUUUGUUGGGAAAGAAAAGCAGCAGGUUAAUACCCCGCUGUUCUGACGGUACCCAAAGAAUAAGCACCGGCUAACUUCGUG
RNAcentral lists this ribosomal RNA (491 nucleotides) under uncultured bacterium. RNAcentral describes it as "partial 16S ribosomal RNA". It matches the Rfam family "Bacterial small subunit ribosomal RNA", at positions 29 to 507 of the family's 1533-position model. The record is from RNAcentral.